AUUGAACGCUGGCGGCAGGCCUAACACAUGCGAGUCGCACGAGUGGAGGACGGGUUAGUAAUGUCUGGGAAACUGCCUGGUGGAGGGGGAUAACUAAUGGAAAAGGUAGCUAAUAACGCAUACCAUCAGAGGUGCCCAGCUGGGAUUAGCUUGUUGGUGGGGUAACGGAUCACAAAGGCGACGAUACCUAGCGGGUAUGUGAGGAUGACCAGCCACAUUGGAACUGUGACACGGUCCAGACUCUUACGGGAGGCAUCAGUGGGAGAUAUUGCACAGUGGGCGCAAGCCUGAUGCAGCCAUGCCGCGUGGAUGAAGAAGGCCUUCGGGUUGUAAAGUACUUUCAGCGGGGAGGCGUUACCCGCAGAAGAAGCACCGGCUAACUCCGUGCCAGCAGCCGCGGUAAUAC
Molecule: ribosomal RNA, 406 nt
Filed under: uncultured bacterium
Lineage: Bacteria
Description: partial 16S ribosomal RNA
Rfam family: Bacterial small subunit ribosomal RNA
Source: RNAcentral